Xyrichtys novacula (pearly razorfish) is the source of this 7653-nucleotide non-coding RNA. Lineage: Eukaryota; Metazoa; Chordata; Actinopteri; Labriformes; Labridae. The record is from the annotation of a GenBank genome assembly.
CUUGCAGCUGCUGUAUGGGACACCUGAGCCGCCAUGUUUGAACACCCUACUGCUUGGCAGAGAUGCUAUUGCGCAUAUGUGACUCUAGGCAGAGAUCGUAAUGAAGUAAGAUGCCUCACUCCACUGGAAAAAACAAAUCUGGUGACAAUAGUCAAUAGACUUUUUUCAUUGUCGGUUUUUGUCGACAGCCUUGACUAAUUGUUGCAGCCCGACUAUUAACUGUUUUGUAAAUUGUAUAGAUGUUCUUCCUUUAUUUCUAAUCUGUUUUUGUGAUGUGAAGCACUUUGUAACUGUUUAGAAAAGUGCUCUAUAAAUAAAGUUAUGAUUAUUCAAUAGGUUUCAAAUAGUUUACUUUUCAGUAUGCAUAACUUUUCCUUUAAACUUAACUUCGCUGCUGAACCUUUAGGGCUCUGAUCUUAAACAUUUCCAUUGAGGGUUAUGUUAGUCGGGUGAACAGGACUCUUUAUCACACUGUUUAAGACUUAUUCAGACUCCCCUUUUGUACCAAAAUCAAACCAUAUGUUUUGAAUAGUGUCACACUUUUACAUCGGAAAGGACGCCGAGUAACACAUCUGCUAGGUUGCACCACUUUGAUUUAAAAGUUACCCUCAAAAAAGAAGUUCAUGACGCCAAUGAACGUGGAGAUUGUAGACUCGUAAAUGGCCCGUAUGGUUCUGUACGGCUCCUUCGUUGGUGAGUCGGGGUUUCUUCAACGAACUGUGUGAUAAACACUCAGCCUAAGCCUUUUUGAACAGCAGAUGUUAUGUUACACAAUGCGAGUAAACUAAGAAGACAAGUUGAACCCCGGUUAAGUCCACAGCCACAGGUCUGUGCGGUUAUCUUUCAUGCCUGGACCCUUCCCAGGGUGCAAGUUUACCGACCUCAGUGUGACUCAAUCCUUCCCUUCUGCUACCUUUAGUGGAAAAUAGACUCGCAGAGAAGAGACAAUAAUCAAAAUAAUCACUGUAGUGUAGAACAAACAGCAUGAAGUAGAAGCUUCUGCCUCUUUCCCUCGCCGAGCGCCAUGGCAACAUUCACUUUGAUAUGCAGAUACCCCCGACAUAUGUACAGUGCAGCACCAAGGGGAAUAUUGACUUUUUGGAGAGGCAGAGAGCUUCUGCUUUAAUUGUGCUUCUCAUUUUUGGGGCUUUUUGUGCUAUUAAACCAAAGCAUGUCUUCUCGUCUUUCCCCAGAUGCUGAGAGAGGACUAUGUGUCAGAUCCGGGGACUGCACACUGAACAGGAUGCUCCCAUAACUGCUACCUUCACGUAAAUCCACACAACCUGCAGGCUGGAGGUCCUCAUCAGAGUUCACGUUGGAGCAGUCGGCACGAUGAAGCGCUCCGGGUAGCUUUUCUUUCCAGGGAUUCAGAGUCUUUCUGGGAAGGGUAACUCUGCCAGACAUUUAACUUCAAACCGAGCUACAGGAUUGGAUACCAUGGAUCGCCUGUGUCCGGGUGAAGGCGUGAGCCGGACGCAGGCCCUUGUCGGAAAGCUGUAGCUGUCUGGAUUUUCCUUCAACUUUUUCCCCCCCUGCGAUUUUUACUGUGGAGUAAUUUUGUUUUGGAGCAGGAAUGGAUUCAUCUGAGGCCAGCAAACAUGGCAAGAAGUCGACAAGUCAGAAGCUGGAGGACCAGAAAAAGGUAGGACCAACUUCUUCAUAUUUCUGCGUUUUUCUUCUGCGAGUUUGUGCUGCUUCUACUAAAAGCAGACAGCUUUGGCUUCAGCUGCUCUGGAGCUGGAGCAUGUGGAAGCAGAGGGAUGAAAGCUUGUUUAUUGCUUGGCUUCUUUUCUUCUUUACAAAAAGGAGAACAUGUUGGUCCAAUUGCUGCUGUUGUCUGAAUUCCCAGUAGCUCCUCUGCUCCUAAUAGCUAUUUUUAAAGACGAGGAAGGAGGAAAGGUGGAGUCUGUGCUCCCUUCAGCUUCUCCAGACUUUCAUCUCUGCUCAUGUGGCGUGGCGGGAGGCAUGCCUCGCCCACUGCAAACCCCCUCAGGGAUACAUAUUUACUCUGUGUUUGAGAUGCUUUUUCAUGUUAAGCGCUCUGGGAACAGGAGGGGGGGUUGAGACCUGUGGAAAGGAGACUAACAGUUCUCCUGUAAAAUGAAACCAAGCGGGCUGUCAGUCUGCUGAUCUGCUGAGGAGGCUGGAGCCUGGAUGGUUAAUGGUGAGACAGCAGAAGUGAACUGGAGUCUGACUCUGAGCUCUGUGACCCGGGUGGGGUUGAGUUCAUGUGCGGCGGUGGUGGUGGCUGGAUCGAUUGUGAGAAUUCAGGCGUCAGGCAGAGUUCAGCAGUCUGCGUGAAGCUGGAUUUGAGGACAGCAGAUCUGGUCUGUCUUUUCUGGUCAAUGAAACAGUCACAGUUACAUAAUGCGUUUACACCGAGCUGCCUUUCACGGAAUACUGCCCUCAAUCAGCGCUAGCUUUGACAGAAAACUUUUAAUUUUAGUCUAUUUUAAGUCUUUGUGUGUAACGACAGCGUUUAAGGGCCACACUAACAGAAAAAUUAAAGUUUCUAAAAUAAAGUUGUGACUAUAAGAGAGCAAAAUCUUUGAGUAUUAAGAAUACAGACAUCACGUUUUAGGAGAAUUAAGUUGUCAAGUUUUAAAAAAGUUCAUGUGUUAGGGGAUAAAAGUCCUUAUGUUUCGAGAAUAAAGUCUUUCUAGGGAAAUAAAGUCAAAUCAUCGCAAGACUAAAGAUGUCAGGAGAAUAAGUUGUGUUUUAUGUUCCUACAAAAACGUUAUUAUCUCACAUGAAUUGAGUCUUUUUGCUACAAAAAAAAGUUUGUGGGUGUAACGAGAUUGGGUCUUUAUGUUACAAAAUUAAAAAGAAGUUUUGUUUAAGGAAUAAAGUUAUGUUACAUGUUUAAAGUGAUAAUGUUUAGAGAAUAAAGUGGUUUUGUUACCAGUAAAAAGCUACAAGAAUAAAGUUGUUAUCACAAGGUUACGUAACAAGAUUUACACAUUGUUGCACUUUGGAGAUAAAGUCUGUUUUUAACAAGAUUAAAAGUUAUUAUGUCUAAAGUUAUUUUUUCUAUUAUGUUACAAGAUUCAAAGUAAAUGUGUUACAAGACUAAAGUCGUUCUGUUUUUAGAAUGUAGUUUUCAUGUUACAAGAUCAAUGGUGAUUUGUUGCAACAUUCCAGUCAUUGUGAAACGGAGUAACUUUGUAGUGUUACGAGAUGAAGGUCAUUAUGUUAUAACAAAUUUUGUGAAUGAAGUUUUGUUACGGGAAAAAAGUUGAGCAUAAAGUCUUCAGGUUGUGACAAGAAUAAUUUCGUGUGUAGAAACUAUCAUUAUAUUUUGAUCAUAAAGUUUUAUCAGUUUUAUUGUUGCUUUGAUAAUAAAGUUAAAGUUUUAGAAUGAAGUUCUUGUGUUUUUAGAUUAAUAGUUUUAAUAAGUUUUGUUUUCACAAGGCGCCCCAUCCUUGUGUGAGCCUUUUGAUAAGCUGUCUAAUAGCUUGCUAGUUUGAUCUUCUUACCAUAGACUGAUUAACUUUUCCGAUGUCCCCUUGGUGAACAAAUCUACACGCAUGUUGGCAGAUAAAUGGUGAUCUGUAAAGGAAAACAAGCUUUAAAGAGGCUGGUUUUCCACUCGUGAGGUGCAGAUAUAUCGGCCUCAUUAUUGAUCAUCAGGACAAUAUAGACACUGAUUUCCCCAAAACGUUGUUGUCAGUUAAAUUUUGACCCUAUUUCGAGCAGAAGGAGAUGAACAAACACUUUUGGUCAACUUUUUCCCAGACAAAACAGACGCUGCUCCAGAUGCGAUGGAGAGGAGCUCACUGGCCUUGACGCUCUUCUUUCUAUUCUUGUUCAUCCACCUGCACAGACUUAGACACACACACACACAUAUAUACACACACCCAGACUAAUGCAGACACAGAUAAUGGAUACACACACAAACACAGAGCGUCUCUCUUUCUCUGCCUCUGACCUGAUUCCUCUAAUGAAGUGCUUUUGAUAAGCGUAAUGAUUGUCCAGGCGAAGCGCGGGGAACAUCUGAGUGCAGCGAGAGCGCGGUAAUACAUCAGGCCUGACAUUUGUAGCACUAUUAAGAUCUCAUAAAAAAGAUGAUUGUGCUUUAUUAUUUUUUUCUCCUCUUGGACCUGUGUGCCAUCUGGGAGUGCAGUUUUUUAAAGCCGCACCGAGACGAGCGCUGCCAGGCAACAGCAUUUUGUACCCUUUUAGAGGAGGGAGGCACUGAGAGGAAGGUGUGUGUUCUUGCAGAGCUCUGCAGAGAAGCAAAGAGGUGAAAAUGUCCAUGUGACCACAAACCUCUUAAAUUAGACGUGCUCUCUUUAUGUUAGAUUUAAAUGGAUGCUCCUUUUCCGCAGAUUCAUGUGAGUAAAUGUCAACAAAACAAGGCUGCGUCCUUGAGCAGCAGAUUUUGUGUCAGGCCUACAAACCGAAGCAGCUUUCUAGGUGAACGGACGCUCUCUUGGAGCUGAGAUUGAAACUGAGCAAAGAGUGACAUGAAAUAUUCAUCUGGUGGGGGAUUGAUUUGGCCCAGUCUGGCUACCAUUUUGGUUUUGGAGAUGCGAGUCGUGCCAAAAGAUAAGCUCCCCCUCUCCAAGUCUUCUGUCGCCUUCAGCGAGGAGACGACUGUUUCAGAGCUUCCUGGAAGGAUUUAACAUUCCUGGUGAUGUCUCUGUGGUUACACUGGGAUGUGUGCUGUAAUUGCCUGACUCGAUGGUUUAUGUCUCGUCCCCGAAGUCUCAUACUGACUCCACUCUGUCAGCCUUCAUAGUUUAACCCGGCAGAAGAGAGAUGCUGUUACUCACAACACACAUUUAAAAAAAAAAAAAGCAUGUAAAGAGUGUAAUUUUCUGUCACAGUUUGACGAUUUAUAACAGGCUGAGGUUGGCACUUUGAAAAUUGGUGCAGAAAAGAGAGCAGAAACUGAGAUGACUGAUGAACACCUCGCUCUUGUCUGCACAGUUCAGCUCCAUUAGCUUGAUUCAUUAGCAGAAAGUUAGGGCCUAGUUGUAUUAUCAUAUUCUGAUUGGAUUAAGGGCCUGUGUCCACUCAAGGUGAUCAUGUGUUUGAUAUUAUGUCCGAGCACUGACAUUACAAACGUUUGGACUCAUCUAAAGACAUCAUUAAUCUAGUGCUCCUCCUCCUCCUCCUUCCAUCACCCAGGAGUCCUCAUUUCUCCCUCUUUCCUUCCCACGCCUCCUUCCCUCCCCUCCUCCCUUCCUCCCCCUUUAAUUCAUCCUCCCCGGUGGAUUCUGCUCCUCAUUUCCACGCUCAUCCCUGUGAAUGAGGAUUCAGUGAUUACCACUGGUCUGCUCACCUGACCUCAGGGGGAUAUUUGCUCGUAGUGAUUGGUUGUGGAUGGUCGGGCAGGGGGCGGCAGCUUGUUGCUAAGGCAUUCCCAGGAAGUAUUCUCUCCAACCAAUCACCUGGGAGUUUAACUUUUGCUGUUUCAUCCAUUACAUCCCUUCAAAUGUGUUGUUUUGCAGAGGUAAUGCUUUCAUGCUUUACCCAUGUGUUAAAGCCGGCCCACUGGGAGGGAGCUCUUAUUGAGUUUUGUCAGAAUUAACUGGCUCGCCCCCCUGUGGACUCUUCAUAUGUGACGGACUGUUUUGAAGCUCCGGGGCUCUGGCUGGCGAAAGACGAGUGAAUAAUUUAACACGUGAUUGGUAUGUAUGAUUAGGUUUUAAUGCAAACCAUGGUGCCAGAGCAGAGGAAGCUACGGCAGUUGGUGAAAACACGCAACAUAUGUCGUCUUAAUAAUUUACCCGUAUACAGAUGUGCUGCACGCUGUUAUAACAGGCAACCAGGAGUUCAUCAUGAAAGCAUCAUAACAGUUACUGUUGUGCUGCAUCACCUCUUUCUUCAAGGAUACUCUGCUGAAUCUAUUAUUAAUACUGUAUUAGUGAAGGUUCAAGAUGUAGGUCACAAUUGUGCACAAGCUGUAGCAGUGCCACCUACUACUUCCAGGAAGUGCAGCUUAUCUAGAGGCUACUGCGAUUGUGUGCAACCCAGAUGUAAAGAUAUGGAGAAAUGGGUGUGUAACUGAGAGGAACAACGUGUAGCUGCACAAACACAAAGCCGUGGGUGUUCACCCUGCUGGUGGUGCUAGCUCUGCUAAUGUUCCUCACACUCUGCACACCAUUUUUACUGCACUCUUGCAGUCAGAUCGUUUGCAUACGCAGGAGAAUCUUUGAGAUCCAGCCAUUCAGGCUGCAAAUGAAGGUGGGAUACAUCUUUUCACUUUGGUCCAGGAGAAUGCACACUUAUGCUGCAUUCCAGUUAUUCCGGAAGUUGAAUAUCGGAGCUGGGAAUGACGUUACACCCGAGUUGAUGGCAUUCCAGUAAACAAGUCAGAAAACCAAGAGGGAUGCCUAUUGUCAGCCGUUGUUAGCUGUUGUUAACAAUUGUCAGCUGUCGUUAGCCAUUGUUUGUUGUUGUUAGCAAUACCAGUUGUAAACAACGUAUAACGCAGUAUUUUACUUUUACAAACACCGUAGCACCAUAGUGUUCACAGUUAGACGUUGGGCAGUAAAACAUAAACCACUUAUUUAAUUUCACAAAAAACAAACAGAAGUGCUGAUAAGUAAUACAUUUCGAGAGAUUUCACUGUUACUCUUUACUGUUGAUGCACUGCACGGCCAUCUUUGAUUAUGACGUGGUUGUCAAGUCAAGGAUUGUCCGACUCAGGAAAUCCGACUUCAGGGAGGCAUUCCACGUGAUUUUCCAACUCGAAGCUCGAAAAUCCCGACUUCUGAGUACACCUGGAAUGCAGCAUUAUGCAUUAUCAGCCUCAUGAAGGACCGCCCACUUUCUCUGUAUCCAUAGCAACAAUUCACUGUACUCACACUUGCUUUCCACAAAUAAAUGGUUUGAAUUAAGAAAGUGUCGCACACUUGGCAAACUUUGGCAAAGUCAUCCGGGAAACAAGAGCCUGCAACAGGCACAGCAUAUUACCAAUUAGUGUUAGAAACAAUAUCCCCAAAAUCUCAGAGACUCUGCAGGGACGCUAUCAAACAGCUGCCUCUGAGGACACAAGAGGACGGGUGACUUCCCCGCCCAGCUGUGACCAGGGUCAGAACAGCUCAGACUGUCUCUGUUUGGCUGCAGAGAUACUUGUUAAAGAUAGAGCAGCUCUCUGACUUCCCAGCAGUGUCACAGGGUUCAGUUUCUCCCUGCACAGACCCUCACUCCCUUUACUCAGUUUUUCCACUCUUACCAAACCUCCAUCCCCUCUGUCCCCCUCCAUCUCCAUUUGUUGUCCUCUCUCCCUGACUCUUCUUUCUCUCUGUAUGACCUGCACAACUCCACUUUCAUCACUUUGCCUCUGAGGUUUGUUUCCCUGAACGCUGCAGUCGUGAUGCACUCCUGUUCCGACAUGUUUAUCCUCUAACUUUCUUCGGCGGUCUAAACCCGCUAAGUCCUCGUGGAAUGAUCCGCUGAUGUACUAUCUCGAGCAAAAUGUGUGAGUAUACGAUGGCUGAGGCGGAGGAGUUCACUUAGGAUGUCACCACAUUAUUAGGAGGAGCUCUGACAUGCAGAAAGAUUGUAUGAAAGCUGGAUCCUGAAAUCUGUGAAAACAUGGUGCGGAUUUCCUGCCAAGAAAAGAAGAUUGAAGCUCUGUCAGCAGCUCUGAAUACGCCAAAAAAAUACGAAUACAAAAGUGAAAAAACUCUCACUUCUCUG